UACGUAGGGGGCAAGCGUUGUCCGGAAUUAUUGGGCGUAAAGAGCGUGUAGGCGGUCCGGUAAGUCAGCUGUGAAAGUCAAGGGCUCAACCCUUGAAAGCCGGUUGAUACUGUCGGGCUAGAGUCCGGAAGAGGCGAGUGGAAUUCCCGGUGUAGCGGUGAAAUGCGCAGAUAUCGGGAGGAACACCAAUGGCGAAGGCAGCUCGCUGGGACGGUACUGACGCUGAGCCGCGAAAGCGUGGGGAGCAAACAGG
RNAcentral lists this ribosomal RNA (253 nucleotides) under uncultured bacterium. RNAcentral describes it as "partial 16S ribosomal RNA". It matches the Rfam family "Bacterial small subunit ribosomal RNA", at positions 524 to 776 of the family's 1533-position model. The record is from RNAcentral.